UACGUAGGGGGCUAGCGUUGUCCGGAUUUAUUGGGCGUAAAGAGCGUGUAGGCGGCCAGGUAGGUCUGCUGUGAAAACUCGAGGCUCAACCUCGAGAUGUCGGCGGAAACCAUCUGGCUAGAGUCCGGAAGAGGAAAGUGGAAUUCCUGGUGUAGCGGUGAAAUGCGCAGAUAUCGGGAGGAACACCAAUGGCGAAGGCAGCUCGCUGGGACGUGACUGACGCUGAGGAACGAAAGCUAGGGGAGCAAACAGG
Molecule: ribosomal RNA, 253 nt
Filed under: uncultured bacterium
Lineage: Bacteria
Description: partial 16S ribosomal RNA
Rfam family: Bacterial small subunit ribosomal RNA
Source: RNAcentral